GACGAACGCUGGCGGCGUGCCUAACACAUGCAAGUCGAGCGAAUGAAGUUCCUUCGGGAAUGGAUUUAGCGGCGGACGGGUGAGUAACACGUGGGCAACCUGCCUCGUAGAGGGGAAUAGCCUUCCGAAAGGGAGAUUAAUACCGCAUAAGAUUGUAGUACCGCAUGAUACAGCAAUUAAAGGAGCAAUCCGCUAUGAGAUGGGCCCGCGGCGCAUUAGCUAGUUGGUGAGGUAACGGCUCACCAAGGCGACGAUGCGUAGCCGACCUGAGAGGGUGAUCGGCCACAUUGGGACUGAGACACGGCCCAGACUCCUACGGGAGGCAGCAGUGGGGAAUAUUGCACAAUGGGGGAAACCCUGAUGCAGCAACGCCGCGUGAGUGAUGACGGCCUUCGGGUUGUAAAGCUCUGUCUUCAGGGACGAUAAUGACGGUACCUGAGGAGGAAGCCACGGC
This 454-nucleotide ribosomal RNA is filed under the name uncultured bacterium. RNAcentral describes it as "bacterial SSU rRNA". It matches the Rfam family "Bacterial small subunit ribosomal RNA", at positions 28 to 497 of the family's 1533-position model. The record is from RNAcentral.